UACGGGGGGAGCAAGCGUUGUUCGGAUUUACUGGGCGUAAAGGGCGCGUAGGCGGCCACCGCAAGUCGACUGUGAAAUCUCCGGGCUUAACCCGGAAAGGUCAGCCGAUACUGCGGGGCUAGGGUGCAGAAGGGGCAACUGGAAUUCUCGGUGCAGCGGUGAAAUGCGUAGAUAUCGAGAGGAACACCUGCGGCGAAGGCGGGUUGCUGGGCUGACACUGACGCUGAGGCGCGAAAGCUAGGGGAGCGAACGGG
RNAcentral lists this ribosomal RNA (254 nucleotides) under uncultured bacterium. RNAcentral's name for it is "partial 16S ribosomal RNA". It matches the Rfam family "Bacterial small subunit ribosomal RNA", at positions 524 to 776 of the family's 1533-position model. The record is from RNAcentral.